RNAcentral lists this small RNA (30 nucleotides) under Bombyx mori (domestic silkworm). Its description in RNAcentral is "ovarian small RNA-10731". The record is from RNAcentral. Lineage: Eukaryota; Metazoa; Arthropoda; Insecta; Lepidoptera; Bombycidae.
AAUAAAGGUACAAAAGCCUUCAAAGGCCUU